GAUGAACGCUGGCGGCGUGCUUAACACAUGCAAGUCGAACGGAAAGGCCGAAGCUUGCUUCGGUACUCGAGUGGCGAACGGGUGAGUAACACGUGGGUGAUCUGCCCUGUACUUCGGGAUAAGCUUGGGAAACUGGGUCUAAUACCGGAUAUGACGAUCUCUUGGAUGGGGUUGUGGAAAGCUUUUGCGGUAUGGGAUGAGCUCGCGGCCUAUCAGCUUGUUGGUGGGGUAAUGGCCUACCAAGGCGUCGACGGGUAGCCGGCCUGAGAGGGUGUACGGCCACAUUGGGACUGAGAUACGGCCCAGACUCCUACGGGAGGCAGCAGUGGGGAAUAUUGCACAAUGGGCGCAAGUCUGAUGCAGCGACGCCGCGUGGGGGAUGACGGCCUUCGGGUUGUAAACUCCUUUCGCAAUCGACGAAGCCUUUUGGUGACGGUAGGUUGAGAAGAAGCACCGGCUAACUACGUG
This 468-nucleotide ribosomal RNA is filed under the name uncultured bacterium. Its description in RNAcentral is "partial 16S ribosomal RNA". It matches the Rfam family "Bacterial small subunit ribosomal RNA", at positions 28 to 507 of the family's 1533-position model. The record is from RNAcentral.